RNAcentral lists this ribosomal RNA (253 nucleotides) under uncultured bacterium. RNAcentral's name for it is "partial 16S ribosomal RNA". It matches the Rfam family "Bacterial small subunit ribosomal RNA", at positions 524 to 776 of the family's 1533-position model. The record is from RNAcentral.
UACGUAGGGGGCUAGCGUUGCUCGGAAUGACUGGGCGUAAAGGGCGCGUAGGCGGCUUGCACCGUCAGAUGUGAAAUUCCUGGGCUUAACCUGGGGGCUGCAUUUGAUACGUGUGGGCUUGAGUGCGGAAGAGGGUCGUGGAAUUCCCAGUGUAGAGGUGAAAUUCGUAGAUAUUGGGAAGAACACCGGUGGCGAAGGCGGCGACCUGGUCCGUGACUGACGCUGAGGCGCGAAAGCGUGGGGAGCAAACAGG